UCCCUGGAGGACUAGUGGUUCGGCCACAGUGCUCUCACCACUUCGGCCCAGGUUCGAUUCCCAGCCAGGGAA
Molecule: non-coding RNA, 72 nt
Organism: Pangasianodon gigas (Mekong giant catfish)
Lineage: Eukaryota; Metazoa; Chordata; Actinopteri; Siluriformes; Pangasiidae
Source: the annotation of a GenBank genome assembly